UGCGUAGGUGGCGUCGUAAGUCGGGUGUGAAAUCUCGGGGCUUAACUCCGAAACUGCAUUCGAUACUGCGGUGCUUGAGGACCGGAGAGGAGACUGGAAUUUACGGUGUAGCAGUGAAAUGCGUAGAGAUCGUAAGGAAGACCAGUGGCGAAGGCGGGUCUCUGGACAGUUCCUGACACUGAGGCACGAAGGCAGGGGAGACGAAACG
RNAcentral lists this ribosomal RNA (208 nucleotides) under uncultured bacterium. RNAcentral describes it as "partial 16S ribosomal RNA". It matches the Rfam family "Bacterial small subunit ribosomal RNA", at positions 568 to 775 of the family's 1533-position model. The record is from RNAcentral.